This 250-nucleotide unclassified non-coding RNA is filed under the name plant metagenome. Its description in RNAcentral is "partial contains small subunit ribosomal RNA, internal transcribed spacer 1, and 5.8S ribosomal RNA". The record is from RNAcentral.
GUAGGUGAACCUGCGGAGGGAUCAUUAACACGUUUUAAAACACGUUUUAACCCACUAACCAACCACGUGAACUAUUUAACCCCCUUGAAAGUCUAAGAAAUUCCGUAAGGAAACCUUCUUCUUCUUUCGAAACACCCCUUUCACCUUUCUAUAACUAUUGACUGAUCUUUUUUGUUUGUUACUCAGCAAUGAGUAUAAUAAUAAAAAACCUAAUCAAAUAUCUAAGCACAACUCUUAGCAACGGAUAUCU